GAUUAAAUAUCUCCUGAGGGCCCUGGAGAGCCUGUGAAACGAUCUCCCAGACCCAGAAGGAGAUCCUGGCACCAACAGGACCUGAGCUGAAAAAUCAAAAGAGCUGAAUUCUAUCCCAAAAGAAUGCUGUGUGCAUAAUGUAUGAAGUUUUCAGAAAAACAGUCUUGAACAGACAAUUCGUCUGACCUUGGAUAAACCAGCGAUGAAAGGCACUACAACUCCCAUUUGCUGCCCAUGGAAGUACUUGAUCCAUUCUGCUCCUUAAGCUGAAAAUCCUACUUGGUCCAGGGACUCACUCCCCUGUGCUUCAGGGACUGAUGGAGCUAAAACCGCCACCCUUUCCUGGCACUCAAUCACAGAAAAUUCUUGAUAGACCCUUGAACUGCAAGGGGAUCCAGUCAGUCAAUCCUAAAGGAAAUCAGUCCUGAAUUGGAAAGACUGAGGCUGAAGCUCCAAUACUUUGGCCACUUGAUGGGAAGAACUAACUCCUUAGAAAAGACCCGAUGCUGGGAAAGACCAAAGGCAAGAAGAGAAGGAGACAACAGAGAAUAAGAUGGUUGAAUGGCAUCACCGACUCGAUGGACAUGAGUAAGACAGAGCAGAGUUUAUUUCUGAGCUCUCCCUGGAGUUUCAAAGACACCUGAGUUAUUACAAGAAGUAUGGAAUGAAUGUUUAGAGCACUAUAGGGUAAUUAGACCACUGCAGAACAUAACAAAGGUGGCUCAGUGGUAAAGAAUUCGCCUGCAAUGCAGGAGAUGCAGGAGACAUGGGUUCAACAUCUGGGUCAUGAAGAUCCGCUGGAAAAGGGAAUGGCAAUCUACUCCAGUAUUCUUGCCUGGAAAAUCCCAUUGGCAGAAGAGCCUGGAGGGCUACAAUCAUGGGGCUUGCAAAGAGUUGGACAUGACUGAGUGACAGCGUGCACGUAUAUAAAAUAAAUAUACCCACCGUUUAGAACAAGGAACUAUAUUCAAU
This is a long non-coding RNA of Bos taurus (domestic cattle), 972 nucleotides long. NCBI's taxonomy places the organism in Eukaryota, Metazoa, Chordata, Mammalia, Artiodactyla, Bovidae. The record is from Ensembl.